Aplysia californica (California sea hare) is the source of this 891-nucleotide long non-coding RNA. RefSeq lists it as uncharacterized. The transcript is spliced from 2 exons. The record is from RefSeq and is a predicted model, not a curated record. NCBI's taxonomy places the organism in Eukaryota, Metazoa, Mollusca, Gastropoda, Aplysiida, Aplysiidae.
AUUCUACACACUAAGUGUAGAAUUCUGUGUGUGAAGGACAUUAUUUUGUGAACAAUGCUUUUUGCCUCUUUCAUGGGGUACAUCCGCUAUUCCCCAUUUUACGAACUUCCGGUAUAUUUUACUAAGGAAUUGUUGGAAAACUCUUUGAGCGGAUGUAGGCCUAGUCAGUCGCCAUUUUGAUCGCCAUUUUGCUCUUGGUUGCGAGUUGCAAAAGCUGUCUACUGUUUGAAGUGUAUUGACGCACUGCAUUUGGUUUGAGACGAUUUGCAAGUUAUCAAGAACAAUUGUUUGGCUGUCGAGUCGCUUUUCUGAAGAUUUCACGUCGAUCUUUAGAUCUAGUGUCUUUGUCUUCCAGAGAUCCAUUCGUUCCUGAGCUGAAGGAGAAGAGUCCUGCCCUCUCGAUCUCUUUGUCUUUGCCGCCGCCAUGGGGAAUUCUUCGUCUCUUUUCACCGCUGAAUCGCUACUUCGUCUAGGUGAGCGUCUUGACUUGGAGGAAGGCCAGUUCUAUGGCCUGGAAGGAGAGUACAUGUUCUGUGGAUUAGAGGCGUUCCACCAGAGGACGGAGAGACACGUUCGACCGGCAAGAGAGGACGAGUCACUGGAGAGCCCGUCAUGAAGCCGGAAGACGUGGUCACUCAGCAGACCUAAAGCCAAGACUGGCCUGAGUCGGAUUUCCAGCAGAGACUGCCACAGUUCCCCUUCCCCAUCCCCUCCCUUGCAGAAGUUGGAAGUACUGGGCCUCAUCGUGGCGCAAGGGUGAACUCCCUGUUCAGACCACAAUACACAUGUCAUGCUGAAACAGGAGCAGACUGUGUGGAGAGGUUUGAGCUGGGUGGCCAACACAGUACUACACUCACCAGUGUGAAGGAUGAAUGGAGAGUCUAUAGGCAA